Pygocentrus nattereri (red-bellied piranha) is the source of this 2584-nucleotide RNA transcript. It is a transcript of the gene named calnexin, with no coding region annotated. NCBI's taxonomy places the organism in Eukaryota, Metazoa, Chordata, Actinopteri, Characiformes, Serrasalmidae. The record is from RefSeq and is a predicted model, not a curated record. The transcript is spliced from 13 exons.
GGUCAGGGGGCAAGUGAAGGGGAUUCUCAGGACAGGCUUGAGAAGAAGAGCUGCUCAGAAAACGGUCUGCUGUGCCCCGCAGGCUGAGCCGAGCUCGGUCCUCCGUGGAGCAGACAUGGUCAGCCUGCUCUCGGGUCUGUGUCUCUGUUUGGCUUUCAGUCCCACCCAGGAGGACCAGGGUGUGUACCGGUCUGUCGGCGCUCCAGCUCAGGCCUAUUUCGCAGAAACGUUUGAUGCGGACUCGCUGGACAGAAGGUGGGUGCUGUCCCGGGCGGUGAAGGAGGACGAUGCUGACGUUCAUAAAUACGAUGGAGGGUGGGUUGUGGAGGAGCCCGAGAAGCAAGUGCUACUAGGAAACAAGGGCCUUGUGCUCAAAUCUCCAGGUCGCCAUCACGCUAUAGCCGCGUACCUUCGCACGGUGCAUCACUUCAGAGACAAACCCCUCCUUCUGCAGUAUGAGGUUCACUUCCAAAAGGGGAUCGACUGCGGCGGAGCCUACAUGAAGUUGCUCACUCAUUCGGAUGAUCUCCGUUUGAGCCAGUUCAGUGACGUCACCCCAUACAGCAUCAUGUUCGGUCCAGACAAAUGCGGCAGUACUUACAAGGUGCAUUUCAUCUUCCGGCACCGGAACCCUCGGACCGGGAAGUACGAGGAGAAGCACGCUCGGCAGCCUGAGACUGACCUGAGCGAAUACUUCACCGACCGCAAGCCUCACCUCUACUCUCUUAAUUUAUAUCCAGACAACACCUUUGAAAUUCUCAUUGACCAAACGCUGGUCAAGACUGGGAGCCUGCUAGAGGACAUGGAUCCACCAGUGGUGCCUCCUCGUGAGAUAGAAGACCCAGAAGAUACAAAACCCUCCCACUGGGAUGACAGGCGUCAUAUUCCUGACCCCACAGCAGCAAAACCCCAUGAUUGGGAUGAGGAAGCCCCUCGGCUCAUUGCUGACCCCACAGUGCAAAGACCUGCAGGCUGGAUAGAAGAGGAAGGGCCCUUUGUCCCAGACCCAGAAGCUCAGCCUCCACAUGACUGGUCUGUUGAGAUGGACGGGGAAUGGGAGGCUCCUCUGAUCCCUAACCCCGCCUGUGCCGAGGCUGCAGGCUGUGGGCCCUGGAAGCCUCCCAUGGUGCCCAACCCAGCAUUCAAGGGGAAGUGGAGAGCACCUGUGAUUGAUAACCCCAAAUAUCAGGGGAAGUGGCAGCCACGGAUGAUCCCUAACCCAGCGUACUUUGAGGACCCUCAGCCCUUCAGGAUGAGUCCUGUAGGCGCAAUAGGCUUUGAACUGUGGUCCCUUACUGGAGAUGUGCUGUUUGACAACAUCUUGCUGUGUGACGACCUAGAGAUGGCCAAACGCUGGACAGAGGACACCUGGGGACAGAGAAAGACACCGGGGAUUCUGGAGCAGCUGCUGCUUGCCACAGCAAAGCGUCCUUGGCUGUGGGGCGUGUAUGUCUUCACCGUGGGACUUCCCAUCAUCCUUUUUGUCAGUCUCAUGUGGCCUGAUAAGACACACCUACCUACAAACAGAUGGGCUACAAUCUGUACCUAUACCUACAAAGUACAGCUACUGUAUGCAGUGAAGGGAAACAAGCAUUCAGGUACUUUUGAGAUCUACCACCCUGGAGAGUUUAGCUCCAACACACCUGGUUUCUCUGAUAUCGUUGCUUUUUUAGUGACAAAAUGGAAUGUUCAUUCAUUUAUUAUAAUAAAGUAUGCAAUAAUUAAGGAAUAGAGUCACUCGAAGUAAAAAAAAUGUAAAGUCCAAGUCAGUUUAAAGAAGCAUAUAAAUAUGUAUUUAUACAGGGAGAUUCACUCGAAAGAGGCCCCAAAUAUUCUGCUGUAACUCCCGUUAGGACGAAGCAAUCUGAACCAAAAAAAUACACAACAUACCUUGAUGUGUGUGUAAUCGAUUGCAUUGCGAUGCUGGGAAUGAUCAUCAGACACACGAAGGGGUACAGGGGUCAAACGGAGGUUAAACGUUGUGACGGCUAUCUGGUGACUACUGUCCGAUGUUUGAAGCUCCAUAUACAGAGGAGGUCACUGCUUGCUGUUUUGCUCAGGUGGCUUCAUCCUAGAGUUAUUACAGAAUAUUCAGGGCCUCUUUCAAGUGAAUCUCCCUGUAUAUAAACUCUACACGUGUCCAUUUUAUCAGCUCCGUUUACCACACAGGCGCACUUUGUAGCACUAAUGUGUCUGAUCCAAUCGUAUCAACGCAACACUCACUAAGACCACCGCCACAUCGGUGUCACUGAAUGACCCACCAUCCAAACUACCUGCUCUGUGAGGGUCCAUGGGGGUCCUGACCACUGAAGAACAGGGUAUCAGAGAAACAGAUGGACUACAGUCUGUAACUGUAGGACUGCAGUGUCAUAGAGUGGUUAUUGGUUAUUGACUGUAGACACGUUAAUGUGACAUGUUAAUUUGUGCUUACCAGCGAUUUGGCCCCUCGACUGAGGACUACUAUUACAAAAAAUCUGAUGAGCCUCAGCCAGACAGUCCCCAGGAUCCAGAGGGCCACACCGCUCUGACGGGCUCUGGGGCUGAGGUCAAAACCGGCCCGAGAAAAAGGGAAACCAGGAAAGCA